Long non-coding RNA from Vicia villosa (hairy vetch), 1618 nucleotides. RefSeq lists it as uncharacterized. The record is from RefSeq and is a predicted model, not a curated record. The transcript has 3 exons. Lineage: Eukaryota; Viridiplantae; Streptophyta; Magnoliopsida; Fabales; Fabaceae.
AAAAAACAGAAUUGGGCUUCAUCAAACACACUUAACCCAUCAGCCAGUUGACACAAAAGAACCCUAGAUCUACAUGGAAGCAUCCCGCCCCCACCUUAUUCUCUUUCACUCCAUUUUCGUUUUAUUCUUCCCCUGUUUUCACGAUUUUUUCUCUCAACAUCACUUCUGUUCUUAGCUCUCACCAAUACUCUCAAAUCCAUUUACCAAAACUUGCUCUCAAACCCAAUCACCUAUAUCAAACAAGAACAAGCGCUGUUGCGGGUCAUUAUUGCCGUCGGUGUUGAAUCGGAUGUUGCGAUGAUGGCGAAUCGGUGAAUAUCCGUAACAAUGAUGAUGAAGGCGCGGUUCACGUUGUUGUGUUGAAGGUGAACGUCGGUUGUUUGAAGGUGGUGCUGAAUGGAUGAUACUGUCGUUUCGAUUUAUGAAGGUUCGGAUUGGUUGUUGAAGGUUUUGGAGGUUUUUGAGUGGUGUUAUGACGGAGAGUUGUUCUGGUUUCAAUCGGGCAGCAUAACUGCAUUUUGAAGGUGAAUUGAAGAAUGGUUGAAGGUUAUGUGUUAGGAGGAAGCUGUAGUGAUUUCAGCAGCAUAACGUUGUAAAUUUUUCCUCUCCCUUCUGUGAUCUGAGCACACCUUUUUAUAGCAAUAGGAAAGUGAGGGCAUGAGGAAAUUUGGAGAAGAUUGGAAUCCGAUUUGUUACAAAUUGGUGAGCUAGAAAUAGUGAUGAAAUCGUGACUGCUAGGGGUGGACAACGGUCGGCGGCAGACGGUUUUGGAUCAAAAAUUGUCCACCGUUCAAGACCGAUGGAUUGAAUAUAUCAAUCCACUUCCGCCCAUUUUACAUAUCGGUUACGGCGGAUGGCGGUUUUCUCGGAUAGCGGUUUGACGCACUUAAAAAGAUAGGGAAAAUAUCAGAAUCAAAAACUAAAAACACGAACAAAAAGGGAGAAAUUGAUAGGAGGUGCAAUUAGAUAUUUUAAUUAGUACAGUAAUAUAAUAUUAGUUGUUAUUUUAUUUUGAAUAUUUGAUUGAAUUGGGCUUUUAGUAGUGUUUGAGCCACUAUAUAUUGUAGUCUCAUUGAGACAUUAGUUUAAGUUUAUUAUCAUUAAAAGUACUAUAUAUUGUAGUCUCAUUGAGACAUUAGGUAUCAAAGAAAUGAAAUGAAAUUUAUCAUUAUUCUUUUUAUUUUAUUUACUCAUUUUAGUGUUCUUCCCGUUUUCUAGUAGAAACCCUAGAUUAUUAGUUUGGUAGGAAUAACUUCCUAUCAGAAACUCAUACUAAAAACACCAACGCUAUCAUUUUUUUGAACAUUUGUUAAAUACCAUAUAUCCCUUUGAAGCAAGAUCUAGAAUAGAGAACAUUUUUUAAGAAGAUUUAGUAAAAAAUAAUGUUUCAUCUUGUCGUAGCAUAGCAGCAAUAAACUUGAAUAUAAAGAUGUUAAUGGAGUCAUAAAAAUGGUGUGAUAGAAAAGAGCUUUCAUGGAGAUUAAGAACAUCAGACUAGAAAUAGUGUUUGGGUGUGAAAUGUUGUGUGAUGUCUUGAGAGAGAAAGGAGAGAGGAAAGCAAAGCAAGUGUAAUUUGUGAGUGAGAGAAAGAAGACAUCGAAAAUAGAGUCUAGGAAUG